GCCGAGCACGGUGGUGCGUGCCUGUAGUCCCAGCUACUCGGGAGGCUGAGGCUGGAGGAUCUCUUGAGUCCAGGAGCUCUAAGCUGUAGUGGGUUAUGCCGAUCGGGUGUCCACACUAAGUUCGGCAUCAAUAUGGUGACCUCCCGGGAGCGGGGGACUACCAGGUUGCCUAAGGAUGGGUGAACUGGCCCAGGUCGGAAAUGGAGAAGGUCAAAACUCCCUUGCUGAUCUGUAGUGGGAUCGCGCCUGUGAAUAGCCACUGCACUCCAGCCUGGGCAACAUAGCGAGACCCCGUCUCU
This 299-nucleotide signal recognition particle RNA is filed under the name Aotus nancymaae (Ma's night monkey). Its description in RNAcentral is "Metazoan signal recognition particle RNA (ENSANAG00000006452.1)". It matches the Rfam family "Metazoan signal recognition particle RNA". From Rfam's summary of the family: The signal recognition particle (SRP) is a universally conserved ribonucleoprotein. It is involved in the co-translational targeting of proteins to membranes. The record is from RNAcentral. Lineage: Eukaryota; Metazoa; Chordata; Mammalia; Primates; Aotidae.